ACCUCGGAUCAGGUAGGGAUACCCGCUGAACUUAAGCNNNUCAAUAAGCGGAGGAAAAGAAACCAACAGGGAUUGCCCCAGUAACGGCGAGUGAAGCGGCAAGAGCUCAAAUUUGAAAGCUGGCUCCUUCGGGGUCCGCAUUGUAAUUUGCAGAGGAUGCUUCGGGAGCGGUCCCCAUCUAAGUGCCCUGGAACGGGCUGUCAUAGAGGGUGAGAAUCCCGUAUGGGAUGGGGUGUCCGCGCCCGUGUGAAGCUCCUUNGACGAGUCGAGUUGUUUGGGAANGCAGCUNUAAAUGGGUGGUAAAUUUCAUCUAAAGNUAAAUAUUGGCCGGAGACCGAUAGCGCACAAGUAGAGUGAUNGAAAGAUGAAAAGCACUUUGAAAAGAGAGUUAAAAAGCACGUGAAAUUGUUGAAAGGGAAGCGUNUGNGACCAGACUCGCCUACGGGGNUCAGCCAGCGUUCGGGCUGGUGUACUUCCCCGUGGGCGGGCCAGCGUCG
Molecule: ribosomal RNA, 497 nt
Filed under: Penicillium sp. BESC196t
Lineage: Eukaryota; Fungi; Ascomycota; Eurotiomycetes; Eurotiales; Aspergillaceae
Description: partial 28S ribosomal RNA
Rfam family: Eukaryotic large subunit ribosomal RNA
Source: RNAcentral